Molecule: ribosomal RNA, 460 nt
Filed under: uncultured bacterium
Lineage: Bacteria
Description: partial 16S ribosomal RNA
Rfam family: Bacterial small subunit ribosomal RNA
Source: RNAcentral
CCUACGGGUGGCAGCAGUGAGGAAUAUUGGUCAAUGGACGCAAGUCUGAACCAGCCAUGCCGCGUGCAGGAAGACGGCUCUAUGAGUUGUAAACUGCUUUUGUACGAGGGUAAACUCAGAUACGCGUAUCUGUCUGAAAUUAUCUUACGAAUAAGGAUCGGCUAACUCCGUGCCAGCAGCCGCGGUAAUACGGAGGAUUCAAGCGUUAUCCGGAUUUAUUGGGUUUAAAGGGUGCGUAGGCGGUCGGAUAAGUUAGAGGUGAAAUCCCGAGGCUCAACUUCGGAAUUGCCUCUGAUACUGUUCGGCGAGAGAGUAGUUGCGGUAGGCGGAAUGUAUGGUGUAGCGGUGAAAUGCUUAGAGAUCAUACAGAACACCGAGUGCGAAGGCAGCUUACCAAGCUACUUCUGACGUUGAGGCACGAAAGCGUGGGGAGCAAACAGGAUUAGAUACCCUGGUAGUC